CAGUCGACGAACUCUGGUAUUGAUUGGUGCUUGCAUCAUGAUUUACAUUUGAGUGAGUGGCGAACUGGUGAGUAACACGUGGGAAACCUGCCCAGAAGCGGGGGAUAACACCUGGAAACAGAUGCUAAUACCGCAUAACAACUUGGACCGCAUGGUCCGAGCUUGAAAGAUGGCUUCGGCUAUCACUUUUGGAUGGUCCCGCGGCGUAUUAGCUAGAUGGUGGGGUAACGGCUCACCAUGGCAAUGAUACGUAGCCGACCUGAGAGGGUAAUCGGCCACAUUGGGACUGAGACACGGCCCAAACUCCUACGGGAGGCAGCAGUAGGGAAUCUUCCACAAUGGACGAAAGUCUGAUGGAGCAACGCCGCGUGAGUGAAGAAGGGUUUCGGCUCGUAAAACUCUGUUGUUAAAGAAGAACAUAUCUGAGAGUAACUGUUCAGGUAUUGACGGUAUUUAACCAGAAAGCCACGGCUAACUACGUGCCAGCAGCCGCGGUAAUACGUAGGUGGCAAGCGUUGUCCGGAUUUAUUGGGCGUAAAGCGAGCGCAGGCGGUUUUUUAAGUCUGAUGUGAAAGCCUUCGGCUCAACCGAAGAAGUGCAUCGGAAACUGGGAAACUUGAGUGCAGAAGAGGACAGUGGAACUCCAUGUGUAGCGGUGAAAUGCGUAGAUAUAUGGAAGAACACCAGUGGCGAANGCGGCUGUCUGGUCUGUAACUGACGCUGAGGCUCGAAAGUAUGGGUAGCAAACAGGAUUAGAUACCCUGGUAGUCCAUACCGUAAACGAUGAAUGCUAAGUGUUGGAGGGUUUCCGCCCUUCAGUGCUGCAGCUAACGCAUUAAGCAUUCCGCCUGGGGAGUANGGCCGCAAGGCUGAAACUCNNGGAAUUGACGGGGGCCCGCACAAGCGGUGGANCAUGUGGUUUAAUUCGAAGCUACG
RNAcentral lists this ribosomal RNA (936 nucleotides) under Lactiplantibacillus plantarum. Its description in RNAcentral is "bacterial SSU rRNA". It matches the Rfam family "Bacterial small subunit ribosomal RNA", at positions 59 to 961 of the family's 1533-position model. Lineage: Bacteria; Bacillati; Bacillota; Bacilli; Lactobacillales; Lactobacillaceae. The record is from RNAcentral.